GCCAGGGUGAUGGAACGGUAGACAUAGGGGACUUAAAAUCCCCAGCUGUAACAAGCGUGUGGGUUCGACUCCCACCCCUGGUA
RNAcentral lists this transfer RNA (83 nucleotides) under Minisyncoccota bacterium. RNAcentral describes it as "tRNA-Leu". It matches the Rfam family "tRNA". Rfam says of the family: Transfer RNA (tRNA) molecules are approximately 80 nucleotides in length. Their secondary structure includes four short double-helical elements and three loops (D, anti-codon, and T loops). Further hydrogen bonds mediate the characteristic L-shaped molecular structure. tRNAs have two regions of fundamental functional importance: the anti-codon, which is responsible for specific mRNA codon recognition, and the 3' end, to which the tRNAs corresponding amino acid is attached (by aminoacyl-tRNA synthetases). tRNAs cope with the degeneracy of the genetic code in two manners: having more than one tRNA (with a specific anti-codon) for a particular amino acid; and 'wobble' base-pairing, i.e. permitting non-standard base-pairing at the 3rd anti-codon position. Lineage: Bacteria; Bacillati; Minisyncoccota. The record is from RNAcentral.